Molecule: long non-coding RNA, 4113 nt
Filed under: Olea europaea subsp. europaea
Lineage: Eukaryota; Viridiplantae; Streptophyta; Magnoliopsida; Lamiales; Oleaceae
Source: RNAcentral
UAAAAAUAAAGGGAACAGGAAGAAGAAAACCUUCCGCCGAUUACACCCAACUGCCUUCGCCGGCGACCACCAACACCAAAGCAGUUUCGGCUCCAUCACCAACGCUACCUUCUCCGCCUCGUUGCUUCCUGGAAGUGUGCUCAGUGUAGUAGCUUGUAACAGCUGCUGUUGCAUUUUUCAGUUUCUUAAAAUUUUACGCAUAUAUUAAUUAGGCACCACAGAUAUGGCAACUGCAAAUUUUCUGUUCGGUAUCGCAAAGAAAUAUUUCACCGUUGGGCUGAUAAGCCUCACAGAAUUUGACCGAUAUGUAAGCCCUACCGCCAUUCGCGGCUCCUCAAUGUCUCCUACUCUUAACCCCCAUGACGAAAAUUCUGCUGCAAUUUGAUGGGUUAUUUCAUAUUUUACUGAUCGUUUUUACUUUGUGGUAAAGAUUUUUACUGGAUUGUUACUGGUGCCUGCAGAUGACUAUGCAUUGGUUGAGAAAUACAAGUUUUCGCACGGUGACGUGGUGGUUUUCCGGUAAUUAAAUCUCUUGCUUGGCAUUAGUAUUGUUGGUUCCUUUUUUAAAUCCAGAUUAUUUGGAUUUUAUGCUUCUUCAGUUUUAAGCACAAACCCAUAUUUACUGGUUUUUUUUGUCAGAAUUAUGGGACAUGAAUGUUCUUCUUUAUGACUUGCUGAUUGAAUCUAACUACGGAAAUUUGUUUAAGCCCGUCUAGACCUUUAAACACAGGCAAUAAUGAAGUUCACUUCAAGGUUAAUUUUAGAUUGAGUUCAAACUUAGUAUUUGACAAUUUUUUUUAGGCCAUGCUCUCAUCAUCAUUCUCCACUUAAAUAACCUUUCUCUAGCUAUGAAUUGGAGAUGCUGAAAUUCAAUUGAUGAUAACCAACCAAACAAAAUUCAUCUUUUGUAUUGUUGUUUGCUGGAUCGAUAGCCACAUAACCAAAUGCUAUGUCAAACAAAUUACUGGUAUCCUUUAAUCAUUGAUCAAGAUGAGUACCCUGAUCUGUUAUUUUUUCCUAUGUACAUAAACAGGAAUGCAAUCUCCCUGCUUAACUGGUUUUUGGCUGAGCCUUGAUUGUAUUCCUUUCAGUAAACUAAUGAAUUUCACUGCCUUACUUAAGAGAAAAAAAAAUAUGUUUGAUAAAUUAAAUGCUAUUAUCUAACGAUACAGUUGGUAGACAACAGCUUAGCAUAAUGAAGAAAAUUUGCUGGUAGCAAUGAACAUUGAGGUCUAUAGAUGCUUUGUAUUCAAAUAUGUUGGCAAGUGAGAUGUUGACUAAUAUGUUUCUCAAAGAAAGAUCCUUAAAGCUGGGUUUUAGAUCAGGUAACUUGGUAAAAGGAGUGAGUGGGGAAACAUGGCUAACUUUAUGUAUUUUUAUUGAUGGCAUCAAAUUGUAUUUUUCUCUUUCAACCAUCUUCUGAGACGAGAAGCUUGAGUUCUGGACCAAUACAAUAGCUGUUCAUAUCUAUGCACAUGAAAUUUUUCCUGUUAGCUGUGUGCAUCUUCCAUUCCGUCUAGUAGGUCAUUUAUAGAAAUGCCUUUGAUGAAGUUGUGGAUUGUAAAAGAUUGAUGCGGCUGAAUAUUUUCUCUUGAGAAUAAUUAACAUUCUAUGUGCUGCAUAAUAUGAUUUAUAAUUUUUUUGCAACUUAACUUGGUAACAUUUAUCUCAUGGGAUAUGCUUUGAGCACUGUACUUUGAGGUUUUCUAUUCUGUGCUCAAGAGGCAUAGAUUAGGACCGAUAGCAAUGUCGGCCUUCACUAUUUUCCUGAAAACUUAUAAAAUUUUAACUACUGCAUGAAGUAUAGCUAGUUCUUCUUAAAAUCAUGAAACUAAUUCUUCACGAUUUAUUUGAGGAGGGAAGCACUCUUGCAAUUAAAAUCUAAUGACACUUUCUCUGAAUGUUUUCUUUCUAUUCAUUAUUCACUAAUGCCUUUUUUCUUUUAAAAAAAAAAAAUAUAUAUUUGGGACUCAUCAUACUUGAAUUACUUGUUACUUUGUUGAACCAUGAUUAAAGUUAUUUUGAAAAAAGCUUCUUGAUUGCUACCAUAAUGGAAGUGAUUCAUAAAUCGUUUGGGUGUUAUGUUGAGUCCUCACAGAUGGAGAAACUGGGGUUCUAUAAUCUUUCUAUAGGCUUUCAAUUACGUUACUCAAUUUUCUAGCACACUAUAAUCACCAUUCCUGCACGCCAUUUUCCACUUAAAUACUAGCUCAAAGAUAUAAAGGGUAUAGUCAAUACCCCCCAACCAGAAGGGUAGUCCAUCUGUGAAAGGUUUUCAUCUAUCCAGUGUUCCAUCCAUUUUAGGUUCUACAUUACAGGCAGAUGCAAGAGUUGGAAGCCAAUCAUUGAUUCCCAAAUGUGGGUGAAUGGAGUUGACUGUGAAUUCAGAAUAUUUUUGUUAUUUUGCAUUUGUUGUGAUAGUGAUGUAUCUCUAUAAUUCGGAUUAGGCUACAGAACUGUAGAUCGCAUUUUCACAUCAUAAAAUAUAUUCCACUAAAAACUGAACAAGCUUUUACAUUGGACUUGGUUGUCAGAGGUGGAAAUAUGGUAGCCAUGAGAGUUGAACUUUAGGGGGUUGGUGUGUUACUAACAUUGAAAGCUGGAAUUUUUGGAGACAGUGCUGCUUCAACAGCUAUUGGCCACUUGGAGGUGGUACUGUGACCUGCUCAAUUCGGAGGGGGAGAGAGAGAGAGAGAGAUUGAUACGUGUGGAUAAAAAUGAUACUUGAAAAUAAUUUUCUGUGUCAGUAUGUAUAUGCCCCUAGGCCCUAGAAGUAAAAUUAGAUUGCAAUCCUUGCUAUACAUAUUCACAAAGAAAAUAGGUAGAUUAAUAAAUUAAUUCCAAAACAUGCACUAUAUGUUACUUUUGUGAUAUGUUGGUACAAAAUUGUAAACAACAUUUUUAGGUCUAAAAUAUAAUCGCAUCCACCAUCCUUUGCAGUUCCCCAAGUAAUCACAAACAGAAAAAUGUAAAGAGAAUCACUGCUUUGCCUGUUGACUGGAUAAAUAUCUCUUCAUAUGAUGCCAUGAUGAUACCUGAAGGGCAUCGUUGGGUUGAGGGAGACAAUCCAGCUUGUAGCAUGGACUUAAGAUCCUUUGGCUCGGCAUUUUACAAAUUGCUUCAUAUUUUUAUUUUUCAUCCAUGAAGUUAAGAACUUCCAUGGAUUACACUGAUGGUUUUGUGUGUCAUUUUGCUAGACAUUGGUCAGUAAUCGUGUUGGCAAAGUAUUUCGUACGUGCCUGGGACAUAACUUGUGUAGUCUUCAUCAAAUUAUGUUUUAAUCAACCAAAUUCAAGGGUCACUAUUUAUUGUCAAGUAAAGGAUAAAAUAGAUUUGUUAAAUUUAAUUUAUUUUAUUAUAUUCUAUGUUCUUGUUAACUAUACCGGCAAGAAUACAUUCUGUGGCCAGCUAAAAUUGGUACAAAACAAAUGGGUUAUGUUACAAACUGAUAAUUGCGGUGAAAAAAAAAAGUAAUUUAGUAAAUACGAGGCAUUGAAUGAUCAAAUGGAUUCUCCUGAUAGAGUUAGUCACUUUUGUUGCCGGUAGAUUAUCAGUUUAGGAUUUUCCACCAUUCACUGAUUGAAAAUGAAUCUAAGUCAAUGACAUCAGUUGAAACCAGUUUGCUUUUGAACAUUUCUAUACAAUCAAUACUUGCUCUUGGUAAAUUUAAGGUUAGAGCUGAAAGGUUUGAAUAUUGUAAUAACCCGUGUUAAAGGUUUUCCACAUAUAUUAAUACUUUGACUGCCUUUCUUGACUCGAGUAUGGUUUUCUUGGCCAGAUUCCUCUCGGUUUGGUUUGUGGACGGGUUACCCAUGUUGUGUGGCCGCCUCACAGAGUAGGUGAAGUCGACAGAAAAAAACCGAAUGAAGAUUGUCCUGAAGAUUGUUUUAAGAUUCGCGAGAGCAGGUUCAUCUUUCAUAAGAAUGUACAUUAACAUUGAUCACAUUUGCACCAAGGAAACAUUAUAAAUGGUUAUAGCAACUCCAACUUCCUUUCAAGAUUUCAUCUUUUGAUUAUUAAUUUGUAUUCUAUUGUUUAUUUGUCAUAAUUUGUGUGUCCUUUAGCAUUGGAAAGCUGUUCUAUAAUCUUUAAGUAAGAUCGUUUUUGUUAAAA